Non-coding RNA from Glycine soja, 87 nucleotides. NCBI's taxonomy places the organism in Eukaryota, Viridiplantae, Streptophyta, Magnoliopsida, Fabales, Fabaceae. The record is from Rfam.
UUGUCUCUUGGAGUUCCUCUGAACGCUUCAUGUGAUUGGCUAGUUAUAGGCCUUUGAUGAAGUGUUUGGGGGAACUCUUAGGUUCAA